CCGCGUGAGUGAUGAAGGCCUUAGGGUUGUAAAGCUCUUUUACCCGGGAUGAUAAUGACAGUACCUGGAGAAUAAGCUCCGGC
This 83-nucleotide ribosomal RNA is filed under the name uncultured Sphingomonas sp. RNAcentral describes it as "partial 16S ribosomal RNA". The record is from RNAcentral. Lineage: Bacteria; Pseudomonadati; Pseudomonadota; Alphaproteobacteria; Sphingomonadales; Sphingomonadaceae.